AGGUCCCGCCUGCCCAGUGACGAUAAGUUCAACGGCCGCGGUAUUCUGACCGUGCAAAGGUAGCGCAAUCAAUUGUCUUUUAAAUGAAGACCUGUAUGAAUGGCAUAACGAAGGCUUAACUGUCUCCUUUUCUAAGUCAAUGAAAUUGAUCUUCCCGUGCAGAAGCGGGAAUAAUAACAUAAGACGAGAAGACCCUAUGGAGCUUUAGACAUAAGCAGACCUUGUUAAACACCCCUACUAAAGGACUAAACCAAAUUAACCCUGUCUAAAUGUCUUUGGUUGGGGCGACCGCGGGGAAAUAAAAAACCCCCAUGAAGACUGGAAACACUUUUCCACAGCUAAGAGCUCCCGCUCUAAGAAACAGAAUAUCUGACUACAGGAUCCGGCAAUGCCGAACAACGAACCGAGUUACCCUAGGGAUAACAGCGCAAUCCCCUUUAAGAGCCCAUAUCGACAAGGGGGUUUACGACCUCGAUGUUGGAUCAGGACAUCCUAAUGGUGCAACCGCUAUUAAGGGUUCGUUUGUUCAACGAUUAAAGUCCUACGUGAUC
RNAcentral lists this ribosomal RNA (551 nucleotides) under Elassoma zonatum (banded pygmy sunfish). RNAcentral's name for it is "partial 16S ribosomal RNA". It matches the Rfam family "Bacterial large subunit ribosomal RNA", at positions 1850 to 2605 of the family's 2925-position model. The record is from RNAcentral. Lineage: Eukaryota; Metazoa; Chordata; Actinopteri; Centrarchiformes; Elassomatidae.